RNAcentral lists this ribosomal RNA (475 nucleotides) under Salmonella enterica subsp. enterica serovar Oranienburg. RNAcentral's name for it is "partial 23S ribosomal RNA". It matches the Rfam family "Bacterial large subunit ribosomal RNA", at positions 139 to 652 of the family's 2925-position model. The record is from RNAcentral. RNAcentral also lists the same sequence under 1 other name. Lineage: Bacteria; Pseudomonadati; Pseudomonadota; Gammaproteobacteria; Enterobacterales; Enterobacteriaceae.
CUCGUCACACUAUCAUUAACUGAAUCCAUAGGUUAAUGAGGCGAACCGGGGGAACUGAAACAUCUAAGUACCCCGAGGAAAAGAAAUCAACCGAGAUUCCCUCAGUAGCGGCGAGCGAACGGGGAGGAGCCCAGAGCCUGAAUCAGCAUGUGUGUUAGUGGAAGCGUCUGGAAAGGCGCGCGAUACAGGGUGACAGCCCCGUACACAAAAGCGCAUAUGCUGUGAGCUCGAUGAGUAGGGCGGGACACGUGGUAUCCUGUCUGAAUAUGGGGGGACCAUCCUCCAAGGCUAAAUACUCCUGACUGACCGAUAGUGAACCAGUACCGUGAGGGAAAGGCGAAAAGAACCCCGGUGAGGGGAGUGAAAAAGAACCUGAAACCGUGUACGUACAAGCAGUGGGAGCACCCUUUGGGGUGUGACUGCGUACCUUUUGUAUAAUGGGUCAGCGACUUAUAUUCUGUAGCAAGGUUAACCG